UCAGAGACACACAGCAGACCUCAGUGCUUCCCUGACUGGAACUCAGCAACUCUGCCCUGUGGCUGGCAGUGCUAGUGGCCUUUGGGUCUGGUUGUGCCUUGAAACUGCUUGCAAUGGAAGAAACCAAUGCACUUCAGCAUCACUGUUAGCCACACCGAGCUGGUGAAUGUGCAGAGCAGCAGCUGUCACCUUCAGGACCAUGUAUCUCCACUAUAAAAGGGGUACAGAGGCGCUCUGAAGCAGCUGGAGCAAUGGGAGGAAACGUUCAAGAGACAAAGGCAGGAGAACUCACCCUGUGGCCCCAGGGGCAUGUGGAGAGCAGGCUGUUGCAUCGCUGUAAGGUGAGGCUGUCUUGGCUGAAGUGACAGUCACCUUGUUUUUCAUCUCGGCUCAAAGUGCUCUUGAACCAGACCACCCAGCCCAUGGAUGGCAUUUCUUGAAGGCAGUUAUUGCAAGACAGAUUAGUGCAUUUGGAAAGGCUGUAAGUGAUUUUUGCCUGAUCUAUGAUUUGUGUCCUUCUUUCUUCAUCAAGUGAUUUGUAUCAUUGCCAGCACCUGUGUGUGUCCGGCAUCUGUAUUUUAAGGGAUACAGAAUGGCAAGGCACAAAAAGAGGGCAUCUUCCCUGAGGUUGUCACUGCAGGUUACCUAACUGCCUCCAUGAAGAAAGCUACUGAGGCAUCAGAGUAGGAUGGUUGCUGUUGGAGAUGUCUGCUGAAGGAUGGGACCUGUGCCAUCCGAGGGAGCUGCAGCCUUCGCCUUGCCCGAAAGGCAGCCUCUGGCUGCACUUUGCUGUCCUGCCUGUUGCUGACUGCAGUGACAAAAUUGUUAGGUGCUGAUCAGUGUCUGUGAAGCCUUCAGCUCAUUAUCUUCUGGGGAAAAGUGGAUUUCCAGACAUCAGCUCCUGCCUGUGAACUCGUAGGCCUGAGUAACCCUUGUGCCGACAGAUGCUGCCCAGUGUAACCCCUGCAGGCUGGGGGAUGGUAGCACCAUCUCCUUUCAGGGGAAGGUGUGGGACUCUCACCUGGAUUUUGAAUGCUCCACAAUUAAGGGCUGUCUGUGUCCGGUGAUUCAGCCCUUGACAAGGUUAGAGGCUUCUCAUGGAUCUACUGCUGUGGCUUUUCCUGCAGAAAGCAUAGUCCAAACUAUCUGGGGGAUAAGUUCUGAGGUCUCUUAUUUAAUCUUGAGCAUUAAAGAGAUAAGUUUGCCCCAGUUCACCUGACAGAGCAGAUACCUGACAUGUCUAAAAGAAGACCUCUUUCUAUAGCUGCAACAAAUAUGAAUUUAAGAGCUUGAAUUACCCAGGUUUCACCAAAAUGAAACCCAGUGCCUCUGUCCACAUUGCUGAGGUUUAGAGCAAAGCUCAAUUCCUAGAUUCAGAGCACUCUUGUUUGCAAACGUUAUCGUUUGUGACUAACAACUCCAUCAUGUCUGAGACCAUGGAGCUGUGACAUGACUAAACCCCCCUCUGCCAGACUACAGGCUGCUUUAUGCUUUAUAGAGGCUCGUAACUGCUGUGAUUCACUGUCUGGAGAGAACUCCUCUCUCUGAGGUGCUUUGUCUGAAUCGACGCUCCGAAAGCAGCUGUCUCUGGCAUCAGUUGUAUUUGCCUUCAGCAGGACAGUCUCCUUUUCAAGAGGAGAAAGCAAGCAUCUUUUUGAGGAGCAGAUUAACCAUAACAGCCACUUUUGAUGUCUUAAACUGCAGAGGCUGUAGCUGCCACAGGAAAUGCACUCAGACAAGCAGCCUUCUCUGCACAUCAAGCCACAUUGAAAGGGGUAGUGAGGCUAACACAGUAUCAUGAUACAUUGCCUCUUUGAAGGCUGGUCCAUUUGUAUUCUAUCUUAACCUGCAUUUGGGCUGUGUUUUGAAGGCUGUAAAAGCAGCUUUGGUUCAGGACCGUGUGCUUUCCAAAUCUUUGUUCUCCCAUACUGAGAAUGCAGGAAGUGGAAUGAAUUCACCUGUUCCUUCCCGCAGCUUUGAAGGGCAGCCUCAUUAUACCUCUGGUUUUAGGCAACAUUUUUCUUUGACCAGAAUUAGUUGUUCUGUCUUGGUGCAGUUUGCAAAACAGUUUGCGCUCCCCAGUGCCGCUGUGAGAGCUCCAGGCAGCCUGUGGUGAAUUCAGCAGAGCAAACCUUGCAGGGCAAGGCAGGUUUGCAGAACGGAUCCCCAAGCUUGUAUUGUCAAACACUUUGACAAAAUGAGAAGUAAAAUUUGUUGUUGAUAAAUUGCAGCGAUGCACAUGGGAGGAAAAACACACUCAGUGAUGGUCUCUGAACUAGCUAUUAACUCCGAGAUCUCUUUCCUGAGUGGUUUUGUAGAACUAUCCAUUAUAUUGUCAACUCAGCAGCAAAGCAAAACAAACUAAACCCUCAACUGGAAUGGGAGGAAUUACUAGGAAAAGACUAGAGAAUAAAGCAAAAAGCAUCAUGUGUGGCUGUAUAAAUCUGUUCUGCACCCACAUUUUAAACACUUUAUCCAGUU
Molecule: long non-coding RNA, 2481 nt
Organism: Pogoniulus pusillus (Red-fronted tinkerbird)
Lineage: Eukaryota; Metazoa; Chordata; Aves; Piciformes; Lybiidae
Exons: 4
Source: RefSeq, a predicted model, not a curated record